Molecule: ribosomal RNA, 227 nt
Filed under: uncultured bacterium
Lineage: Bacteria
Description: partial 16S ribosomal RNA
Rfam family: Bacterial small subunit ribosomal RNA
Source: RNAcentral
UGAGUAACACGUAUCCAACCUGCCGUCUACUCUUGGACAGCCUUCUGAAAGGAAGAUUAAUACAAGAUGGCAUCAUGAGUCCGCAUGUUCACAUGAUUAAAGGUAUUCCGGUAGACGAUGGGGAUGCGUUCCAUUAGAUAGUAGGCGGGGUAACGGCCCACCUAGUCUUCAAUGGAUAGGGGUUCUGAGAGGAAGGUCCCCCACAUUGGAACUGAGACACGGUCCAA